This 400-nucleotide ribosomal RNA is filed under the name uncultured bacterium. RNAcentral describes it as "bacterial SSU rRNA". It matches the Rfam family "Bacterial small subunit ribosomal RNA", at positions 355 to 752 of the family's 1533-position model. The record is from RNAcentral.
UAAGGAAUAUUGGUCAAUGGACGCAAGUCUGAACCAGCCAUGCCGCGUGGAGGAUGAAGGUCCUCUGGAUUGUAAACUUCUUUUAUCUGGGACGAAAAAGGGACUUUCUAGUUCAACUGACGGUACCAGAUGAAUAAGCACCGGCUAACUCCGUGCCAGCAGCCGCGGUAAUACGGAGGGUGCAAGCGUUAUCCGGAUUCACUGGGUUUAAAGGGUGCGUAGGUGGGCAGGUAAGUCAGUGGUGAAAUCUCUGGGCUUAACCCGGAAACUGCCAUUGAUACUAUUUGUCUUGAAUACCGUGGAGGUCAGCGGAAUAUGUCAUGUAGCGGUGAAAUGCUUAGAUAUGACAUAGAACACCAAUUGCGAAGGCAGCUGGCUACACGAAUAUUGACACUGAUGC